GACAGAGGGGGCAAGCGUUGCUCGGAAUUACUGGGCGUAAAGGGCGCGGAGGCGGGAUGGCAAGUCGGUCGUGAAAUCCCUCGGCUCAACCGAGGAACGUCGAUCGAUACUGCUGUUCUUGAGGAUUGCAGAGGAGACUGGAAUUCCCGGUGUAGCGGUGAAAUGUGUAGAGAUCGGGAGGAACACCGGUGGCGAAGGCGGGUCUCUGGGCAAUUCCUGACGCUGAGGCGCGAAAGUGUGGGGAGCGAACAGG
Molecule: ribosomal RNA, 253 nt
Filed under: uncultured bacterium
Lineage: Bacteria
Description: partial 16S ribosomal RNA
Rfam family: Bacterial small subunit ribosomal RNA
Source: RNAcentral